Delphinapterus leucas (beluga whale) is the source of this 5272-nucleotide non-coding RNA. The record is from RefSeq and is a predicted model, not a curated record. Lineage: Eukaryota; Metazoa; Chordata; Mammalia; Artiodactyla; Monodontidae.
GCCUUCUCUUUCCGGCUCUGUUUCCCGCACGGUCCUCACCCAACUGCAGGGGUAGAGAGGAAGGGCGGGCGCGGGUGGGCGGGAAACAGCCCAGCCCCGAACAAAAGGCUGGGGAAGCGGGGCUCCCGCCGGUGAAAUGCAGGCCGGGUCGCGCUGGAGCCGCUACGCGGGGGCGAGCCGCUGGCGGGUGUGGAUCGCACUCCUGGGCCACCAUGGAGACCUCACCCUCGAUUUAGUUGUUAUUUAGUAUGGAAGAAGAUGAGUUCUUUGGAGAAGAAACAUUCCAGCAUUAUUGUGCAGAAUUCAUUAAACAUUCACAGAAGAUAGGCGAUGGCUGGGAAUGGAGAACUUCAAAGGACUGUUCUGAUGGCUACAUGUGCAAAACACAGUUUCAACUUAAAAAUGGGACUGCAGUGUCACAUCGAGGAACAUCUGCCUGUGUACAAACAUGUCUUCCCAUGGAGGAGGCUUUAGAGCCACCCCUGGAUGAUUUUGAGGUGACGGAGACCACCACGGCAACCAAAGUGAUUAAAUAUGAGUAUCAUGUCUUAUAUUCCUGCAGCUACCAAGUGCCUGUGCUUUACUUUAGGGCAAGCUUUUUAGAUGGAAGCCCUUUAGCUCUGAAGGACAUAUGGGAAGGAGUUCAUGAGUGCUAUAAGACUCGGCUGCUGCAUGGACCGUGGGACACUAUUACCCAACAGGAGCAUCCGAUACUUGGACAACCCUUUUUCGUACUUCAUCCCUGCAAGACGAAUGAACUCAUGACUCCUGUGUUAAAGAAUUCUCAGAAAAUCAAUAGGAAUGUCAACUACAUCACGUCAUGGCUGAGCAUGGUAGGGCCAGCUGUCGGGCUGAAUCUGCCUCUGAGUUACGCCAGAGCAGCCUUUCAGGAUGAAGGAAACGUCAACAGACAAGAUUCUUCUGUUGAGCCAAAGAGCUUAGAAGAACUCUGAGAGUUUACGUGGCCGGCCCUGGUUUUAAUGGGACCAAUAUGGUGUGAGAUUCAGAUCACCGAGAUUUUGACGUGGAUUUUUUUUCCCUUGGAAGCAAAUGUCCGCAGCAACUGAUGUACUCUAUGUUUAGAAGACACACUGCAAAGACACAAAUCACUAUAAAGAGCAAAAGAGGAAUCUAACUUGGUAAUAGAAAUACUGACAUCAUCAGGGCACUUCCAGGUCAUUCCCUCAUGUCUCUGAGACUCAUUCUCUUCACCUUUAAUUUGAGAAUAACAAGCUACCUCACAGGGUUGCUGUGUGAAGCACAUGAGAGCCUUAGUGUAUGAGAAAAUAUGGUAAAGUAUUACGCAAAUAUUCAUUAAAUGGUCACCUUUCUUAUAUUUGAUUGUCAUUCACCUAGGCUGUCAAUAAGUUCAAUAGUCAGUAAGAUAUUAAGAUGAACCAUAGAAUUUUUGGUUUGGGGUUGCCUGUUUUGUUUUUCAUUUUAACUUGCUAGGGUCUUAAACUAAGAGAAAAACGUAAUUGACUCUUCAGAGCAUCUAGAUUAGUGUCUGUCAGUGGGGGAUGCACUUUAGAGUCACUUGAGGAUCUUUUACAAUUACAGACGCUGGGGCCACCUGCUGGAACAGCCCCUCUGGGGUGAUUCUGAUGCACAUGCUCCUGAAGAAGUUCUGGUCUGGAUGUACCUUUCAAGUGGCAUUUAUUUGUGUUGCUUUGGUCUCCCAGUAGGUCUUUUCCAAUCCUGUGCAUAGCUCCUGCAAGAUGGACUUACUUCCUAACAUUGCCCGGACCUUGCCCCGAGAAUCUGUAUAGCAAGGAAGUCUAGGAGGCAUUUGGAGAGGCGGCCUACUUUGGAGAAGCAGUUAGGAUGAGGGGAUUAUCUGCUGGCGAAUAGCAGAGGACCGCGACAGCCUUGCUGGGUGGCAGGGGCAGCAGACCGAGAGCCCUGACCCGGCUCAUACGAAUGCCCCAGUCCAGUGGAGAAGACAGACAAGAAGAAGAUUGAUGGCACGACGUGUGUUGUAGCGGUGGUGUGGAAAGCAAGCACCAGGGAAGAGUCACAGAAGAGGAAUGAAAAGCUCUCCUUAUCAUCAGAAUUGCUGUUUGAAAGCUUCAGAUCCUCUGGGAAGCAAGGGAGGUCAAUGAUGUUCAUCAAGCCUGGCUCAAGUUCUAAGGGCUGUAUGUGAGUGGCUCCCUCAUUUUGAAGAUAGAUACCACAUAUUGAAGGCUUAAGUGACAGUCUGAAUGAGAUGGCAACUGUUUGUGUGCAUAUUUGGAAAUGUUGGUUAUCUGUCACUCCUGGGUCCCCUCAAAUGAUCACUCUAAAAUAUUCAGUUGUUAAAUGUUUUAAUACUUUGCUCUAAAACUCCUGUGGUGACAAUACCAUGACAAUAAGCUUUAAAAAGUCCACUUCUUUUCCUCACAUACUAGUAAAUAUAACAUCAUUUUACCAAAUAAUAUGGAUAGAAAUUGUGCUAGAAACGAAGAAUGCUUAGUACAUCCUGCCAAGGCAGUCCCCAAGUACAAUAUCAUAAGAAAUGUGAGUUAAUACUUGGAUGAUCCAUUUUAUUUUAGACUUUAUAGGUCAGAAUAAAGACUAUACAAGCAGCUGUUAGUGGAAAUUUUAUUGUAAUAUGGUAAUUUAUGACCUUAGUCUCUUUUCUCAACUUUGUGUAAAAUCAAUAAAGACAUGUUAGCUACUUUGACACACGUGAAACAGGCUCCAGGAAUGUUACCCACAGAUGACUAUUAUAACAAAAUCCAGACAUUUACCUGGAAUGAAUUCAUCUAUACAAAGAUAUACAUUCAAAUUUGCAUAGCUGUCAAAUUAGAACUGUCUCUCAGCUCUAUCAAAAAAUAAAAGGAAAAAAACCCCAUAUAGUUGAGGUAUUGUGUAUUUCCAUAAUACAGUUUACAACAAAAACUCUUAUUAAAUACCCAGCAUUAUGUAUGCCAUAAUUCACUAAGGAGCCACCUGUAAGGUAGUGUUUAUUAUUUUGCUAUGAGGUGCAUCUCCUACAGGAAGUUUAGAGGACAGAUUAUUUUUCUAGUUUCAGCUAUGCCAAUUACUUCGGCAAAUUAUUUCAAAAAUACUUGAGCUAUUUUUGGCUUCUGACUUAUAAAAUGAGGUGGCUGGAAUAGAGCAGUAGUAUCCCCAUAAGUGUGGAAAGCAAGGGGAUAGCUUCAUAAAGACUGCCUGAUAGCUUGUCGAUAAGACAGAUUUUUUCCAGAAAUACUGUAAAGAUUGUUUUCCAGAAGAUCAGGAGUAUUUGUAAAAUCUAACAAAUACCUUAGGGACUCUGACGUUCUGGAUUUGGGAACCACAGGACUAAGUGAUCUCCAGAUUCUUUCUGCACUAACAAUUUCUGAUUUGUUUGGGGUUUGCUAGGCAAAUGUAAGAGGUAAUAGAAUUUAAAUAUUUACUCAUCCACAAUUUUUAAACCUUUUAAUUUGUAACUAAGACUCACAAGAAGUUGCAAAAACAGUAUAGUUUGUAUACUUCACCCAACUUCCCCUUAAUAACAUACUUGAUAACCAGAGUAUAUUUUCAAAACCAGUAAAUUGACAUUACAACAGUAUUAACUAAACCACAGAACUUGCUUUAUUUCAUCAAUUUUUAUAUGCACUUUCUGGGGACUAUGAAAUUCCAUCACAAGUAUUGAUUUGUGUAAAUACCACCACAAUCAGGACACAGGACUGUUCCAUCACCACAAACACACUCCCUCCUGCCACUCUUUUAUAGUUUGUCUCUAUCCCCAUCAUUCAUCCUUGGCAGCUACCCAUCUCUUCUCCAUUGCUAUAAUUUGUCACUUCAAGAAGUUCAUAUACAUGAAAUGAUACAAAACAUAUGUAACCUUUUGAGAUUGGCUUUUUGUACUUGGCAUACCACUAAGAUCCAUAGAAAUUGUUGCACGCAACAAGUGUCUUUUACGACUGAGUAGCAUUUCAUUUAUGGAUGCAACCACAGUUUAUUUGCCCACUGAAGGACAUUUAGGUUGCUUCUAGUUCUUGACUGUCACAAAUACAGUUGCCAUGAACAUUUGUGUACAGGAUUUUGUGUGGGCAGACAUUUCAUUUCUGUGUGAUAACUACCCAGGAGUGCAAUUGCUGGAUCCUAAGCAUAUGUUAACUUUAUAAGAAACUGCCAAACUUUUCUAGAGUGACUACCAUUUCAGAGUCCCACCAACAAUCCAGUUGCUCCAGUCUUUCCAGUGCUUGGUAUUGUAUUUUUAAUUUUAGUCAUUUGCUAGGUGUAUAGUGAUAUCUCCUUAUGAUUUUAAUUUGCAUUUUCCUAACGGCUGAUGUUAAUCAUCUUUUCAUGUGCUUGUCAUCUCUUCAGUGAAAUGUUUGUUCAUUCGUCCAUUUUGUAAUAGGAUCGUUUUCUUACUUUUGAGAUUAGGGAGUUCUUCGUAUAUUUUGGAUACAAGUCUUUUAUUGGAUAUGUGACUUGCAAAUAUUUUCUCCCAGUCUGUAGUUUCUUUUCAUCCUCUUGACAAGAUAUUUCACAGAACAAAAGAUUUUAAUUUUGAUGAAGACCACUUUAUCCUUUUUUUCUUUUUGUGGAACGUGCUUUUGGUGUAAUCUCUUAGAACUCUUCACCUAACCCUAAGUCAUGAAGAUGUUUUUGUCUAUAAUUUUUACAGCUUUACUUUUUAUAUUGAUAUAUGAUCCAUUUUGAGUUAAUUUUUGUAAAAGGUGUGAAGUUUAGGUUGAAGUCCAUUUUUCUGCUAAUCGAAGUCCCCACUAUCUAUUGAAAAAAGUAUCUGUCCGCCCCUCAAUUACUUUUGUAUCUGUCACAUAGCUGUUGGUCAUACCUGUGUAAGUCUAUUUCCAGUCUCCUAGUUUAUUGAUGUGUGUCUGUCCCUCCUCCGACACCACACCCUCUUACUAUAGCUACAAAUUGUCUUAAAAUCAGUUUGUGAUUCCUCCACCUUUAUUCUUCGUUUUCGAUAUUGUUUCAGCUAUUCCAGUUCUUUUGCCUUUCCAUACAAAUUUUAGAAUUAGCUUUUCUAUUUCUACCAAAAAGAGCUGCUGGGAUUUUGCUUAAAUUUUGCACCCAAGGUUACUGCCUCAUUUCCCUCCCUAGAACUUUGAGAAGGAUCCAAGAAUGAAGGGGCUUUAUUCACAGGUGGUGGGGGAGUAGAGGGUGGGAUGGAGGGAAUACACAGGAGGCAGAGGCAACUCACAUCAGGGUCAAACAUUUGGGUCUGAGGCACCUGUGGUGGAUUUACGGGUCAGUCGUCACAGGACAGAGGCGUCCUGGGUGUACCCAGGAGACAAGUGCGAACCAUUGUAGCAGGGUGUCUUAACUCCCA